Molecule: long non-coding RNA, 574 nt
Organism: Trifolium pratense (red clover)
Lineage: Eukaryota; Viridiplantae; Streptophyta; Magnoliopsida; Fabales; Fabaceae
Exons: 3
Source: RefSeq, a predicted model, not a curated record
UUUUUUUCUCUCUUAAACAACUUUGUUGUUUUCAAUGUUAUGUCGCAAGCCUUUAUUGAAUACUAAUAAAUCACGUGUAGUAUUGUUGAUGAAUUUACUCUAUGAUGAUUAAUCUAUUUUGCAAUGUGCAGAGGCUGCUCUAGGUAGUAGAGAAAAGGAUUCAAUCGAAGCUAUUUAUAAGCAUGCUGAACUUGCAUAAGCCUUUACUUCUCUACAAGUGUGAUUGGGAAAUCGGUCCUUAUGAGCUCCACUUUUUAAAUCAUUCGCGAAUUGGAAAGGAAAGGAAGAUCAAAAGAAAUGCAACUUGUAAAAGGGAUGCUUCGUAAGUUAUCCAGACAUGUAGUAAUCAACACUAUGCAAACGUCGUCGUCAUGAGAGAAUUUAUGUUUGCCACAAUUUUGUCUUACAAAUUAUGUUUGGUUUUGAUAGUUUUAUGGUGUAGACUUUACUUUCGAUUUGUUAGACAUAUACUUGGUUUUUUUUUCUUAGUGUUGUUGUAUGACAUAAUGGUUGUCACUUUUAAGAUUCUCAAAAUUCAGUUUCACACUACGUUUAAUUUGUUUGUGGGUUGAGA